GCAGCAGUCGGGAAUCUUGCACAAUGGCGAAAGCCUGAUGCAGCAACACCGUGUGAGCGAUGAAGGCCUUAGGGUCGUAAAGCUCUGUUUGCGAGGACGAAGGGUGAAGGGUUAAUAGCCCUUAGCCUGACGGUACUUGUACAGAAAGCCCCGGCUAACUACGUGCCAGCAGCCGCGGUAAUACGUAGGGGGCGAGCGUUGUCCGGAAUUAUUGGGCGUAAAGAGCGUGUAGGCGGCUUGGUAAGUCUGCUGUGAAACCUUGGGGCUCAACCCCAAGCGUGCAGUGGAUACUGUCAAGCUAGAGGAUGGUAGAGGCCAGUGGAAUUCCCAGUGUAGCGGUGAAAUGCGCAGAUAUUGGGAGGAACACCAGUAGCGAAGGCGGCUGGCUGGGCCAUUCCUGACGCUGAGACGCGAAAGCUAGGGGAGCGAACAGGAUUAGAUACCCUGGUAGUCCUAGCCGUAAACGAUGAACACUAGGUGUGGGGGGAGUCGAAUCCCUCUGUGCCGAAGUAACGCGUUAAGUGUUCCGCCUGGGGAGUACGGCCGCAAGGCUA
This 554-nucleotide ribosomal RNA is filed under the name uncultured eubacterium MP1-K4. Its description in RNAcentral is "bacterial SSU rRNA". It matches the Rfam family "Bacterial small subunit ribosomal RNA", at positions 348 to 896 of the family's 1533-position model. The record is from RNAcentral. Lineage: Bacteria; Bacillati; Actinomycetota; Rubrobacteria.